UACGUAGGGGGCGAGCGUUGUCCGGAAUUAUUGGGCGUAAAGAGCUUGUAGGCGGUCUGUCGCGUCUGCUGUGAAAAUCCGGGGCUCAACCCCGGACUUGCAGUGGGUACGGGCAGACUAGAGUGCGGUAGGGGAGACUGGAAUUCCUGGUGUAGCGGUGAAAUGCGCAGAUAUCAGGAGGAACACCGGUGGCGAAGGCGGGUCUCUGGGCCGUAACUGACGCUGAGGAGCGAAAGCGUGGGGAGCGAACAGG
RNAcentral lists this ribosomal RNA (253 nucleotides) under uncultured bacterium. Its description in RNAcentral is "partial 16S ribosomal RNA". It matches the Rfam family "Bacterial small subunit ribosomal RNA", at positions 524 to 776 of the family's 1533-position model. The record is from RNAcentral.